UGGGGAAUAUUGGACAAUGGGGGGAACCCUGAUCCAGCCAUGCCGCGUGUGUGAAGAAGGUCUUCGGAUUGUAAAGCACUUUAAGUUGGGAGGAAGGGCAGUAAGCGAAUACCUUGCUGUUUUGACGUUACCGACAGAAUAAGCACCGGCUAACUCUGUGCCAGCAGCCGCGGUAAUACAGAGGGUGCGAGCGUUAAUCGGAUUUACUGGGCGUAAAGCGUGCGUAGGCGGCUAAUUGAGUCGGAUGUGAAAUCCCCGAGCUUAACUUGGGAAUUGCAUUCGAUACUGGUUAGCUAGAGUGUGGGAGAGGAUGGUAGAAUUCCAGGUGUAGCGGUGAAAUGCGUAGAGAUCUGGAGGAAUACCGAUGGCGAAGGCAGCCACCUGGCCUAACACUGACGCUGAGGUACGAAAGCAUGGGGAGCAAACAGG
RNAcentral lists this ribosomal RNA (429 nucleotides) under Pseudomonadota bacterium. RNAcentral describes it as "Proteobacteria bacterium partial 16S ribosomal RNA". It matches the Rfam family "Bacterial small subunit ribosomal RNA", at positions 355 to 776 of the family's 1533-position model. Lineage: Bacteria; Pseudomonadati; Pseudomonadota. The record is from RNAcentral.